GUGGGGGGCGCGGGCGAAGUUCGUCCGCCGGACUCGGAAUGGGGCGAGACUUUGCGAGGGGCCUCGGGGUGCCCGCGGGAAGUCGCGGGCACAGCCGCGUCCAAAAAUAAGUGCCCGAAGGUCGUGGUGCCAAAACCCCCCAGCGGAAAAAUGGCCAAAAAACGGGUGGGCUAUAGCCAUGGUGGGGGGCGCGGGCGAAGUUCGUCCGCCAGACUCGGAAUGGGGCGAGACUUUGCGAGGGGCGUCGGGGUGCCAAAAAUAAGCCGCGGGCAAAGCCGCGCCCAAAAAUAAGCGCCCGAAGGUCGUGGUGCCAAAACCCCCCAGCGGAAAAAUGGCCAAAAAACGGGUGGGCUAUAGCCUUGGUGGGGGGCGCGGGCGAAGUUCGUCCGCCGGACUCGAAAUGGGGCGAGAUUUUGCGAGGGGCCUCGGGGUGCCCGCGGGAAGUCGCGGGCACAGCCGCGUCCAGAAAUAAGCGCCCGAAGUUCGUGGUGCCAAAACCCCCCAGCGGAAAAAUGGCCAAAAAACGGGUGGGCUAUAGCCUUGGUGGGGGGCGCGGGCGAAGUUCGUCCGCCGGACUCGGAAUGGGGAGAGACUUUGCGAGGGUCCUCGGGGUGCCCGCGGGAUGUCGCGGCCACAGCCGAGCCCAAAAAUAAGCGCCUGAAGGUCGUGGUGCCAAAACCCCCCAGCGGAAAAAUGGCCAAAAAACGGGUGGGCUAUAGCCUUGGUGGGGGGCGCGGGCGAAGUUCGUCCGCCGGACUCGGAAUGGGGCGAGACUUUGCGAGGGGCCUCGGGGUGCCCGCGGGAAGUCACUGGCACAGCCGCGUCCAAAAAUAAGCGCCCGAAGGUCGUGGUGCCAAAACCCCCCAGCGGAAAAAUGGCCAAAAAACGGGUGGGCUAUAGCCAUAGUGGGGGGCGCGGGCGAAGUUCGUCCGCCAGACUCGGAAUGGGGCGAGACUUUGCGAGGGGCCUCGGGGUGCCAAAAAUAAGCCGCGGGCAAAGCCGCGCCCAAAAAUAAGCACCCGAAGGUCGUGGUGCCAAAACCCCCCUGCGGAAAAAUGGCCAAAAAACGGGUGGGCUAUAUCCUUGGUGGGGGGCGCGGGCGAAGUUCGUCCGCCGGACUCGGAAUGGGGCGAGACUUUGCGAGGGGCCUCGGGGUGCCCGCGGGAAGUCACUGGCACAGCCGCGUCCAAAAAUAAGCGCCCGAAGGUCGUGGUGCCAAAACCCCCCAGCGGAAAAAUGGCCAAAAAACGGGUGGGCUAUAGCCAUAGUGGGGGGCGCGGGCGAAGUUCGUCCGCCAGACUCGGAAUGGGGCGAGACUUUGCGAGGGGCCUCGGGGUGCCAAAAAUAAGCCGCGGGCAAAGCCGCGCCCAAAAAUAAGCACCCGAAGGUCGUGGUGCCAAAACCCCCCUGCGGAAAAAUGGCCAAAAAAUGGGUGGGCUAUAGCCUUGGUGGGGGGCGCGGGCGAAGUUCGUCCGCCGGACUCGAAAUGGGGCGAGACUUUGCGAGGGGCCUCGGGGUUUCCGCGGGAAGUCGCGGGCACAGCCGCGUCCAGAAAUAAGCUUCCGAAGUUCGUGGUGCCAAAACCCCCCAGCGGAAAAAUGGCCAACAAACGGGUGGGCUAUAGCCUUGGUGGGGGGCGCGGGCGAAGUUCGUCCGCCGGACUCGGAAUGGGGAGAGACUUUGCGAGGGUCCUCGGGGUGCCCGCGGGAUGUCGCGGCCACAGCCGAGCCCAAAAAUAAGCGCCUGAAGGUCGUGGUGCCAAAACCCCCCAGCGGAAAAAUGGCCAAAAAACGGGUGGGCUAUAGCCUUGGUGGGGGGCGCGGGCGAAGUUCGUCCGCCGGACUCGGAAUGGGGCGAGACUUUGCGAGGGGCCUCGGGGUGCCCGCGGGAAGUCACGGGCACAGCCGCGUCCAAAAAUAAGCGCCCGAAGGUCGUGGUGCCAAAACCCCCCAGCGGAAAAAUGGCCAAAAAACGGGUGGGCUAUAGCCAUAGUGGGGGGCGCGGGCGAAGUUUGUCCGCCAGACUCGGAAUGGGGCGAGACUUUGCGAGGGGCCUCGGGGUGCCAAAAAUAAGCCGCGGGCAAAGCCGCGCCCAAAAAUAAGCACCCGAAGGUCGUGGUGCCAAAACCCCCCAGCGGAAAAAUGGCCAAAAAACGGGUGGGCUAUAGCCUUGGUGGGGGGCGCGGGCGAAGUUCGUCCGCCGGACUCGAAAUGGGGCGAGACUUUGCGAGGGGCCUCGGGGUGCCCGCGGGAAGUCGCGGGCACAGCCGCGUCCAGAAAUAAGCUUCCGAAGUUCGUGGUGCCAAAACCCCCCAGCGGAAAAAUGGCCAAAAAACGGGUCGGCUAUAGCCUUGGUGGGGGGCGCGGGCGAAGUUCGUCCGCCGGACUCGGAAUGGGGCGAGACUUUGCGAGGGGCCUCGGGGUGCCAAAAAUAAGCCGCGGGCAAAGCCGCGCCCAAAAAUAAGCGCCCGAAGGUCGUGGUGCCAAAACCCCCCAGAGGAAAAAUGGCCAAAAAACGGGUGGGCUAUAGCCUUGGUGGGGGGCGCGGGCGAAGUUCGUCCGCCGGACUCGGAAUGGGGCGAGACUUUGCGAGGGGCCUCGGGGUGCCUGCGGGAAGUCGCAGGCACAGCCGCAUCCAAAAAUAAGGGCCCGAAGGUCGUAGUGCCAAAACCCCCCAGCGGAAAAAUGGCCAAAAAACGGGUGGGCUAUAGCCUUGGUGGGGGGCGCGGGCGAAGUUCGUCCGCCAGACUCGGAAUGGGGCGAGACUUUGCGAGGGGCCUCGGGGUGCCAAAAAUAAGCCACGGGCAAGGCUGCGCCCAAAAAUAAGCGCCCGAAGGUCGUGGUGCCAAAACCCCCCAGCGGAAAAAUGGCCAAAAAACGGGUGGGCUAUAGCCUUGGUGGGGGGCGCGGGCGAAGUUCGUCCGCCGGACUUGGAAUGGGGCGAGACUUUACGAGGGGCCUCGGGGUGCCCGCGGGAAUUCGCGGGCACAGCCGCAUCCAGAAAUAAGCGCCCGAAGGUCGUGGUGCCAAAACCCCCCAGCGGAAAAAUGGCCAAAAAACGGGUGGGCUAUAGCCUUGGUGGGGGGCGCGGGCGAAGUUCGUCCGCCGGACUCGGAAUGGGGCGAGACUUUGCGAGGGGCCUCGGGGUGCCAAAAGUAAGCCGCGGGCAAAGCCGCGCCCAAAGGUCGUGGUGCCAAAACCCCCCAGCGGAAAAAUGGCCAAAAAACGGGUGGGCUAUAGCCUUGGUGGGGGGCGCGGGAGAAGUUCGUCCGCCGGACUCGGAAUGGGGCGAGACUUUGCGAGGGGCCUCGGGGUGCCCGCGGGAAGUCGCGGGCACAGCCGCGUCCAGAAAUAAGCGCCCGAAGGUCGUGGUGCCAAAAGCCCCCAGCGGAAAAAUGGCCAAAAAACGGGUGGGCUAUAGCCUUGGUGGGGGGCGCGGGCGAAGUUCGUCCGCCGGACUCGGAAUGGGGCGAGACUUUGUGAGGGCCCUCGGGGUGCCAAAAAUAAGCCGCGGGCAAAGCCGCGCCCAAAGGUCGUGGUGCCAAAACCCCCCAGCGGAAAAAUGGCAAAAAACGGGUGGGCUAUAGCCUUGGUGGGGGGCGCGGGCGAAGUUCGUCCGCCGGACUCGGAAUGGGGCGAGACCUUGCGAGGGGCCACGGGGUGCCCGCGGGAAGUCGCGGGCACAGCCGCGUCCAGAAAUAAGUGCCCGAAGGUCGUGGUGCCAAAACCCCCCAGCGGAAAAAUGGCCAAAAAACGGGUGGGCUAUAGCCUUGGUGGGGGGCGCGGGCGAAGUUCGUCCGCCGGACUCGGAAUGGGGCGAGACUUUGCGAGGGGCCUCGGGGUGCCAAAACUAAGCCUCGGGCAAAGCCGCGCCCAAAGGUCGUGGUGCCAAAACCCCCCAGCGGAAAAAUGGCCAAAAAACGGGUGGGCUAUAGCCUUGGUGGGGGGGGCGGGCGAAGUUCGUCCGCCGGACUUGGAAUGGGACGAGACUUUGCGAGGGGCCUCGGGGCACCAAAAAUAAGCCGCGGGCAAAGCCGCGCCCAAAAAUAAGCGCCCGAAGGUCGUGGUGCCAAAACCCCCCAGCGGAAAAAUGGCCAAAAAACGGGUGGGCUAUAGCCUUGGUGGGGGGCGCGGGCGAAGUUCGUCCGCCGGACUCGGAAUGGGGCGAGACUUUGCGAGGGGCCUCGGGGUGCCCGCGGGAAGUCGCGGGCACAGCCGCGUCCAGAAAUAAGCGCCCGAAGGUCGUGGUGCCAAAACCCCCCAGCGGAAAAAUGGCCAAAAAACGGGUGGGCUAUAGCUUUGGUGGGGGGCGCGGACGAAGUUCGUCCGCCGGACUCGGAAUGGGGCGAGACUUUGCGAGGGGCUUCGGGGUGCCCGCGGGAAGUCGCGGGCACAGCCGCGCCCAAAAAUAAGCGCCCGAAGGUCGUGGUGCCAAAACCCCCCAGCGGAAAAAUGGCCAAAAAACGGGUGGGCUAUAGCCUUGGUGGGGGGCGCGGGCGAAGUUCGUCCGCCGGACUUGGAAUGGGGCGAGACUUUGCGAGGGGCCUUGGGGUGCCCGCGGGAAGUCGCAGGCACAGCCGCGUCCAGAAAUAAGCGCCCGAAGGUCGUGGUGCCAAAACCCCCCAGCGGAAAAAUGGCCAAAAAACGGGUGGGCUAUAGCCUUGGUGGGGGGCGCGGGCGAAGUUUGUCCGCCGGACUCGGAAUGGGGCGAGACUUUGCGAGGGGCCUCGGGGUGCCAAAAAUAAGCCGCGGGCAAGGCCGCGCCCCAAAAUAAGCGCCCGAAGGUCGUGGUGC
Molecule: long non-coding RNA, 4793 nt
Filed under: Citrus x clementina
Lineage: Eukaryota; Viridiplantae; Streptophyta; Magnoliopsida; Sapindales; Rutaceae
Description: Citrus clementina (C. clementina) long non-coding RNA (CCLE_LNC006348)
Source: RNAcentral